This 364-nucleotide ribosomal RNA is filed under the name uncultured bacterium. Its description in RNAcentral is "bacterial SSU rRNA". It matches the Rfam family "Bacterial small subunit ribosomal RNA", at positions 541 to 904 of the family's 1533-position model. The record is from RNAcentral.
UUGUCCGGAUUUACUGGGUGUAAAGGGCGUGCAGCCGGGUCUGCAAGUCAGAUGUGAAAUCCAUGGGCUCAACCCAUGAACUGCAUUUGAAACUGAAGAUCUUGAGUGUCGGAGGGGCAAUCGGAAUUCCUAGUGUAGCGGUGAAAUGCGUAGAUAUUAGGAGGAACACCAGUGGCGAAGGCGGAUUGCUGGACGAUAACUGACGGUGAGGCGCGAAAGUGUGGGGAGCAAACAGGAUUAGAUACCCUGGUAGUCCACACUGUAAACGAUGAAUACUAGGUGUGCGGGGACUGACCCCCUGCGUGCCGCAGUAAACACAAUAAGUAUUCCACCUGGGGAGUACGAUCGCAAGGUUGAAACUCAA